Molecule: long non-coding RNA, 4223 nt
Organism: Anolis carolinensis (green anole)
Lineage: Eukaryota; Metazoa; Chordata; Lepidosauria; Squamata; Anolidae
Source: Ensembl
AUGAUUGAGCCUCAUGGCUCUGCUUCUGGCAGACGUGGACGUAAGACUCCUCGAGAGUCAGAUACUCUCGAGGAGCGAGAAAGAAAGAGGCUGCGAGAUAUCUUUGCAGAACCGUCUGACGAAGAGUCUUUUAAGGGGUUCACGGAGAGAAUGGAGGAAGAGCUGGUUAGCUCGGAAGAGGAUGAGAUGGAUUGGACUCGGGUAAGGGAGGAGUUGGGUGCCACUGGCAAUAAUGGGAUGGAAGAUGAAUGGGGACCUUCAGGAUUAGACCCAUGGACAAGCUGGAGGGAUGGGACGGGAUCCACAGCUGGGGAUGCUGUGGGGCGUAGUCAGAGGUGUUCCAGCUCUGAUGAGGGAAAGUGAUGAGGAAACGCCCGGGUUAAGGAGGGCAGCUGAUAGUGAUGAGGAUUUGUAACUGGCAUAAAAUGAGGCUUGGGAGCAAUUGCAAAUUGCGUUGGGCAAGGUAAUCUGGACGAACGCUUGGGAUCUGUGUGGGACGCUUUCCUGAAGACUGGUGUGUUUUCGUGUGCUGAUACCUUUGACCUUCCGUCGUCUUCUUGACGGACGUCAUCUGCUACUCUGGAUUUACGGACUGAAAACUGACUACGGGCUCGCUUUCUCCUAUUGGACUUGGAAAACUGCAAACGUCUGAUUCUGCCUCUCGACCUUCGGAACGAAUUGGGACUACGCUACUGCUUCAAUCCUUGGCUGUUGAGUUUGUAUUGGAAAUUUGCCUUGCUGUGUGAAGGAGUGACUCCUAGUUACUCAAAACAUAGUGCUGGCAGCAGAGAAUUAUCUGCUGCCAAUUAGUUGCAUUCUUUUGAACUCUUUGUUUCCCAGCUUCUGUUUGUUUUUCCCCAGGCUGAAGCAAGCUGUUUUGAUUUUACCCGGAUUAAACUCCGGUUUAAUCCGGUUUAUCUUUUGAACGUUUUUUCUUGCCCCUUUUUGUUUUUAAAGGCUAAGUUGCCUUGCCCUUGUCUUUUACGGGCAUUUUGAGUUCUGUAAAUCCAAUAAACUCUGUUAUCUUUGAUCUUGUGGCGUUCUGUCCUUGACAAUUUGGCGAAUGCCAUGUGGAACUGCACUGUUUUGGCUCCCUGUGAAAGCUUAAAUGAGAUACAGCCAAUAUAACUUCCUUGGGUAGAGAGUGCUACAUUUGAGGUAUUGUUACAGAGAAAGUCAUGUUACAUGUACUUACCAACCCAACUUCAUGAGAUGCUGGGACAUGCAUCAGGGCCUCCUCUGAAGAUCUCAAAUUUCUGACAGGCUCAUAAUUGAGAGGAGUCAGCCUUUUAGAUAUCCUGGCCUCAAUUCAUUUAUAGCUUUAUAGCUCAGCACCAGCACCUUGAAUUGAGCUCAGAAGCAAAUUAAAAGCCAGUAUACAGUUCUUGAAAAACUUAUAUAUAGCCUAUAAAAUGCACACAUGGCAUACAAAUUCAAAUUUUGGCCCUCCUUUCCUUGAGAGGUGUAGUGAACCUUACCUAUUAGGCCGGGAAUGAAGCCUGGGUAACAGUGAGUGAGGCAGGCCUCCAUUUUGUAGAGGAAUGCCAGGCAGCCAUCUUGGGUGUGGUUAGAAAGAGGGAGGAGCUUAGAGAGGGAAUCCUAGGAUUGGCCAGAGCAGAUGGGAGGAGUCAAGUUUUAGAGUGCAGAGAAAAAAGGAGCUCCGAGGCAGUUCGGUUUUGGGGUUUGGAGAGGAAAGAGCAGUUUGGAGGGUGUGUGUGAGAGAGAACUGAGAGCUGUGAAACUGACAGGCUAGGUCAGGCAGUUUGGAUUUCUUGGGGAAGAUAACUCAAGGGAUUGACUCUCAUUACAGGGCUGGUUAAUAGAAGGACUCUAGGUUAGAGUUAGUUAACAACCCAGGGGAAAUCGUGACUAUUCUUAGCAAAUAGGGUUUUUGUGACCAAUAGAUAGAUUGGUUGGUUGGAACUGUUUGAAACUAAGUGAAGAAAUCGAAAACCUACAACUAAGUUAAGCUGAAGAACUUCUGUAACCGUUUACGCUUAUGUACCUCUCUGAAGUAAUCAUUUGCCUGUUUUAAGAAAAUAAAUUUUUAUUCUAUUUUCAACUUUCAAAAGCCUCCACAGUGUAUCUUUCCAUCAAGAAGCCUUUAUAAUAGUUCCAGCAAUGCAACAAUAAAAUACCACAGAAAAGCCUCAUAGUGAACAUCAGUUUGGGAUCCAGGGGUGGAAACAGUGUGGGCAGGGAAUGGGAGAAGCUUGCCUCAGACACAUUUAACAACAAAAUUCUAAAGACAUUUUAAAUUGGUGGCAGCUACCAUUUUAAAAGAAAAUCUAAACUCAAACAGUGUAUCCUCGCCUCUCACAUACGUGUGCACCUGUGUGAAGAGUGUAGAGUGAGAGGUGUCUGUUAUAUUUGGUGUCAGCGCUUCGUUAUAUUUGGUGCCUUCUGCCCUCUCGUUAUAAGAGGUCUACCACAACAGAGGAAUAACUGCAGUGCAGAGGGUAAGGUAAAAAGGAUCAAUCCUAUGGGAAGUGUUUAACUCAUAUAUGGGUGUUAUUGUUGACUUGCUAUAACUUUAACGAUCCCUAUAUCAGCAUUACCAAAACAUUUCAUCAAAAUGCCCACCACCAUUGGCUGGAAGUCUGAAUGUGAUUGGUUACAUAACUAUCUUAGUUCUGUAGCUAAAUAGCAUUGUAGAUAAAUAGCCUGAUCAUGCCUCACUAUUGGCCAUGCUAGCUAGGGCUUAUGAGAAAUGAAGCUUGAAUAAUAUUCAACAGCUCUGGCUAAUAUAAUUUUCAUAGCACAUAGAUAUGUUCAAGAAAAAAGUAAUUACUUGAUUCAUUUUCUUUAUUAAAAAGUUCAUUAAUUUCAGCAUUCAUUUUCACUCACUCAUAUUCAACAUGAUGCCUCUUUCCCUCCCUCCUUCCUUUCUUGCUUCCUUUGACUAUUUUGUGCUAUUACCUAUGCUGGUGAUUAAAAAACAAGCCUGUUUUGUUCUUCCAUGAUGCACCGGAAAAGAGUAGAUUAAUAUCCUUCUGCUCCUUCUCCUCCUUGUCCAGAAUUUUUUAUAUUCAUCUUUGCUCCUCAAUGUCUGCAAUUUGUUGGUUAUCCAUCCCCUGCCUUGAUUAUUACUUUUGGACAGUGCUUCACGUUUCCUACUUGGCCUUCCCUGUGUUCAUUGUCUGACCCCAAAAAGUUAGCCAUUGGCCAACACUCUACAAUUUUAUGAAAUGUUCCUGGGCUUUUUCACUGAAAAGAAUCGCAAAAGAGUGUUGACAAAACAUUGAGUUUUUGUGCAAGUAGUAAAAAGUAAAUAUGAUUGGGGAAAUAUCCAGACAUCACUUGAAGGCAUAACUUGGUGUACUCAGCUGGCAGAAAUUGGCUAGACUAUAGGAGUCCCCAGGCUCCAGAGUGCAGCUAUGGAAGAAAAUGAAAUGUAGGGUGCUUCAGUAGGAAAGGUAAUGAGGUAGAAUAACUGCAUAUCUUCAGGGUCUGAUCCAAGAACUGGAAUUCACUGUGCUAAAAGAAUCUAUAGAGAAGAGAUAAUGGAGAUUGAGAAGAUGGCAUUGAGAUCUGAUAUUUAAGUACAUUUUUUCCAAAUGAAAUGACAGGGUUCACAGAGCAGUUAAAGAAAGAAAUGUGCAAUCUUUUGGAAAAGUAAACUUAGUAAGUAUAUACUUUGCCAAACCCUGAAGCUGAGAAUAUUUUGUUUCUGUGUUAACAUUGUUGUUUUUUUUAACAAAGAUCACUGGCAAAGAAAUAAAUGUGUUAGGAGAAAAAAACCUGAACAAUAUAAAUUUCCUUCUAACCUUUAGUCUAUGUAAGCCAGGAAAACAUUUAAUUUUUUUCAGAUUUCCAUGCACCAUCUUCCAUCCACAUUUAUAAAUUUUUCAAAGAUGUCUGCUCCUUGAUGGAGUCUUAAAUUUGACCUUCCUAGAAUGGCCGAGCUGAUCUUGUGAUUAAUGAGCCAAUUAUUUCCUUCUGAGAUGCCGUGCAAAAUGUGUAUCUCAUCUCUUUUCCAUUUACAGUUUUAAUAAAUAAGUAACAUGGUGUUUUUAUUGGCAUUGCUGCACUCUGAAGUUACUGAUGAAUUCCUUUGAGUUAUUUAUCCUCCAAAUUAAUAGAACACUAGCAGGGUAAUUUUAAAAUGUAGGAUUUUAUUUGUUUACAACAAGGUAAACAAAAGUAGUGUCUGGGAAAGAAUACUGACAGAGAGUGGUAAUUAAAGCCAUAUAUACACAAAUAAAUAGAUGCACUGUCAAGCA